AAAAAAUGUAGCAAAAUAGAGUACAAAAAUAAAAAUAAAAUAUAGGUAGUUAUAACAUAAUUAUGAUUUAUGGUCACGAACAUAACAAUUAUUGCUUAAAAAUAUCGGGAACUCAUUUCGUAUAAUACACUGGUAAAUAUUCCGUUUUAAGUAAUAUGUGUUAUGCUUGUAACAUUUCUAUAUUAUACAAUGACAUUAGGGACUUUUUGACGGGAACGCGAGGAGUGAAGUUGUGUGAUUUGUAUUAUUUUGUCUAUUUAAUGUUUCUUCAGAUUUAAAUGUGUAAUACGGGGGUUUAUUAACUGUUUAAUAUCUGUGAAAGUGCACAAAUGUGGGAAAAUGAAACAAAGCCGCUGGACGUAACUUCUCGGGAUCCUCCAAAAAGUGCACUGAAAAAAUCUCAGUAAAUGACCACCAUUUUUCUGAUAUUAUUUUUCAUCCAAUAUCAUCUCUUUUCAUUUCGUUUCAUCUCAGUUGAUUAAUGUCUCAAAUUAAUCAUCUUCAUUUCAUUUCAUUUCACUCCAUAUCAACAUUUUUCAUAAAAAUAAGAAUAAAAUUAAAAUAAGACAUGACUUAAAGAUUUUAGUUACCAAGUCAUAAAACCACUAAAAAAAAUACAAUGACAUUAUUCAUUUUGACAUUUUAUUAUGAUUGUAUUUUAUACUUCUAUAAUCACAAAUUUCGCCAAGACUACACUAUAAAAAAUAUUAACAAAGACAAAUAAUAUUUAAUAUAUUCUCAAUUUGACAACAGACGUCAAGAACAAAAGCUUGACAAUAAAUAGUAUGCAUGCGUGUGUGCGUCAAAUACAUGCAUCAUACAAACUUGAGUGGAUGUUGAAAUAACAGAGCUGUUCCAACUAAGUUCUGGUCUAAUUUGGGAAUGUGUUAUUAAAUAAACAAAUAAAUUACGCCCUAGCUAAUUCCAACCGUUAAAAUAAAACCAAUUACUUACGUAACUUCUGUGAAAUAUGGAAACACACCGAACAAGCAAUCUCUCUCUCUCUCCGUGUCUGAUGUUAAACUGUUAAAAUGGGAAGUUCUAAGUCGCAAUGGUAUCUUGUUGUUCAGAUCAGACUGCGUAAUUCUUUCCCAGCAGAUACUUAUAGCCAGAACACGGACGACCUUACUUGCUUUGCUGACAUCGUGUAAGUUCGGUCUUCUGGUCUCGAUGCACAUAAUAUUUAAAUGCUUAAUGCGUUUUAGAUACUGGCGAUGAAUACUUUUUAUGUCGUAGUAAGUGCGCGAAAACAAACAUUUUCAAUUUGCAUAACAUCAAGGAUAAAACCUCAAACUACAUUAUGUAUGUAUUCUCUAAAAAUCACGAUACGCCUUGGAAAGCUUAUCGCCGUAACGGGUCAUUGACCUAACUUUAAUACUAAAAGCGCAAGCAUAGAAAACUUUUACGAUGCAACUCAAUGCAUGCGUACUGUUAGAGGCUUAUGGUGCAGAGAGAAAACUUUGGAGCCUGAACCUUUAUGGAUUCAACGAAUGAAAACGUACAACAUUUUAUUGCAAUCGAUUUUUAGGGAUUAUUUGUUUACUAAUUUAUUAAUAUAUUAUUUUUGAUUAUUAUUCAUUGAAUCAAAAACAAUACAGCACGAUAUCAUUUACAAUUCUGUAGACGGAAAAAAAGUCCGAAACGUAUUUCCAACUAUCCUACACAAAUAAAUUGUAAGCCGAAACACUAAUAAAAGCUAAAAUUUAUGUUCCGUAAUAAAACAAACGCGCAAAAACUGAACAUUCGAGUCGAUUACCUUCGGACACGUGAAUAAUAAAAAAAAAGUUGUGAACUUGAUAAUGUAAAUCUACGAAUUAAAACUUUUUCCUCAUUACGAUUUUUCAA
Long non-coding RNA from Bombyx mori (domestic silkworm), 1845 nucleotides. RefSeq lists it as uncharacterized. The transcript has 3 exons. The record is from RefSeq and is a predicted model, not a curated record. NCBI's taxonomy places the organism in Eukaryota, Metazoa, Arthropoda, Insecta, Lepidoptera, Bombycidae.